This 255-nucleotide ribosomal RNA is filed under the name uncultured bacterium. Its description in RNAcentral is "partial 16S ribosomal RNA". It matches the Rfam family "Bacterial small subunit ribosomal RNA", at positions 99 to 354 of the family's 1533-position model. The record is from RNAcentral.
CGGACGGGUGAGUAACGCGUGGAAAACCUGCCGUAUACUGGGGGAUAACACUUAGAAAUAGGUGCUAAUACCGCAUAAGCGCACAGCUUCGCAUGAAGCGGUGUGAAAAACUCUGGUGGUAUACGAUGGUUCCGCGUCUGAUUAGCUAGUUGGUGGGGUAAUGGCCUACCAAGGCAACGAUCAGUAGCCGGCCUGAGAGGGUGAGCGGCCACAUUGGGACUGAGACACGGCCCAAACUCCUACGGGAGGCAGCAG